UCCUUGGUAGUUAAGUGGCUAAGACUCUGUACUCCCAAUACAGGGGCCUGAGUUUGAUCCCUGGUCAGGGAA
Bos taurus (domestic cattle) is the source of this 72-nucleotide non-coding RNA. NCBI's taxonomy places the organism in Eukaryota, Metazoa, Chordata, Mammalia, Artiodactyla, Bovidae. The record is from Rfam.